This 73-nucleotide transfer RNA is filed under the name Deltaproteobacteria bacterium. RNAcentral describes it as "tRNA-Ala". It matches the Rfam family "tRNA". From Rfam's summary of the family: Transfer RNA (tRNA) molecules are approximately 80 nucleotides in length. Their secondary structure includes four short double-helical elements and three loops (D, anti-codon, and T loops). The record is from RNAcentral. Lineage: Bacteria; Pseudomonadati; Myxococcota; Myxococcia.
GGGCCCGUAGCUCAAUGGGAGAGCCCUCGGUUUGCACCCGAGAGAUGUGGGGUUCGAGUCCCCCCGGUGUCCA